CGAGCGACUUGCGGGAGCUUGCUCCCAAAAGUUAGCGGCGGACGGGUGAGUAACACGUGGGCAACCUGCCUGUAAGACUGGGAUAACUUCGGGAAACCGGAGCUAAUACCGGAUAAUUCUUAUCAACACAUGUUGGUAAGCUGAAAGUCGGUUUCGGCUGACACUUACAGAUGGGCCCGCGGCGCAUUAGCUAGUUGGUGAGGUAACGGCUCACCAAGGCAACGAUGCGUAGCCGACCUGAGAGGGUGAUCGGCCACACUGGGACUGAGACACGGCCCAGACUCCUACGGGAGGCAGCAGUAGGGAAUCUUCCACAAUGGACGAAAGUCUGAUGGAGCAACGCCGCGUGAGCGAUGAAGGCCUUCGGGUCGUAAAGCUCUGUUGUUAGGGAAGAACAAGUAUCGGAGUAACUGCCGGUACCUUGACGGUACCUAACCAGAAAGCCACGGCUAACUACGUGCCAGCAGCCGCGGUAAUACGUAGGUGGCAAGCGUUGUCCGGAAUUAUUGGGCGUAAAGCGCGCGCAGGCGGUCCUUUAAGUCUGAUGUGAAAGCCCACGGCUCAACCGUGGAGGGUCAUUGGAAACUGGGGGACUUGAGUGCAGAAGAGGAAAGCGGAAUUCCACGUGUAGCGGUGAAAUGCGUAGAGAUGUGGAGGAACA
This 661-nucleotide ribosomal RNA is filed under the name Neobacillus mesonae. RNAcentral's name for it is "bacterial SSU rRNA". It matches the Rfam family "Bacterial small subunit ribosomal RNA", at positions 63 to 708 of the family's 1533-position model. Lineage: Bacteria; Bacillati; Bacillota; Bacilli; Caryophanales; Bacillaceae. The record is from RNAcentral.